This 253-nucleotide ribosomal RNA is filed under the name uncultured bacterium. RNAcentral's name for it is "partial 16S ribosomal RNA". It matches the Rfam family "Bacterial small subunit ribosomal RNA", at positions 524 to 776 of the family's 1533-position model. The record is from RNAcentral.
UACGUAGGGUGCGAGCGUUAAUCGGAUUUACUGGGCGUAAAGGGCGUGCAGGCGGUUUGUUAAGUGCAGGGUGAAAGCUCCCGGCUCAACUGGGAGAGGUCCUUGCAUACUGGCAAACUCGAGGGAGGCAGAGGAAAGUGGAAUUCCCGGUGUAGUGGUGAUAUGCGUAGAUAUCGGGAGGAACACCUGUGGCGAAGGCGGCUUUCUGGGCCUUACCUGACGCUGAGACGCGAAAGCGUGGGGAGCGAACCGG